RNAcentral lists this ribosomal RNA (75 nucleotides) under Bacteroides thetaiotaomicron. Lineage: Bacteria; Pseudomonadati; Bacteroidota; Bacteroidia; Bacteroidales; Bacteroidaceae. The record is from RNAcentral.
UCAGGUGGUUAUAGCACGAGGGUUCCACCUCUUCCCAUUCCGAACAGAGAAGUUAAGCCUCGUCACGCCGAUGGU